UUUGCUUCUCAGCCUUUUGGCUAAAAUCAAGUGUAGUCUCUGUUCUGAUCAGUUUAAUAUCUGAUACAUCAUCUAUCCAAUGACAAUAUAUUAAAUGGAUUUUUGGCACUAGGAACUGGAAUAGAAGCUUGCUCUGUCCAUCUCAUGUAUCAACCUGGUAUUGCAGUACCUCCAGAAACGGUGCACAAUAA
Small nuclear RNA from Suncus etruscus (white-toothed pygmy shrew), 191 nucleotides. RefSeq annotates it as U2 spliceosomal RNA. The transcript has a single exon. NCBI's taxonomy places the organism in Eukaryota, Metazoa, Chordata, Mammalia, Eulipotyphla, Soricidae. The record is from RefSeq and is a predicted model, not a curated record.